GGAGAGAUGGCUGAGCUUGGUUGAAAGCGCUCGACUCGAAAUCGAGUAAGGAGAUUAAAAGUCUUCUUCGUGGGUUCGAAUCCCACUCUCUCCG
RNAcentral lists this transfer RNA (94 nucleotides) under Bacillota bacterium. Its description in RNAcentral is "Firmicutes bacterium (hot springs metagenome) tRNA-Ser". It matches the Rfam family "tRNA". Rfam says of the family: Transfer RNA (tRNA) molecules are approximately 80 nucleotides in length. Their secondary structure includes four short double-helical elements and three loops (D, anti-codon, and T loops). The record is from RNAcentral. Lineage: Bacteria; Bacillati; Bacillota.